GGCCUGGGCCGGCACGGCCCGGUCUAGGCCCGCGGGCCAAGCACGGCACGGCCCGCGGGCCAGCACGGCACGGCCCAUAAGGGCCUGGGCCGGGCUGGCACGCGAGCCUGGCACGGUCCGGGCCUGGGCCCGGCUCGGCCCGAUAAAAUUUUUUUAAUAAAUUAAUAAAUAUUGAACACUAAGAAAUCUUGAUUUAUGAA
Molecule: long non-coding RNA, 200 nt
Filed under: Phoenix dactylifera (date palm)
Lineage: Eukaryota; Viridiplantae; Streptophyta; Magnoliopsida; Arecales; Arecaceae
Description: long non-coding RNA (PDAC_LNC020462)
Source: RNAcentral